Molecule: ribosomal RNA, 472 nt
Filed under: uncultured Acidovorax sp.
Lineage: Bacteria; Pseudomonadati; Pseudomonadota; Betaproteobacteria; Burkholderiales; Comamonadaceae
Description: bacterial SSU rRNA
Rfam family: Bacterial small subunit ribosomal RNA
Source: RNAcentral
GGAAUUGACGGGACCGCACAAGCGGUGGAUGAUGUGGUUAAUUCGAUGCAACGCGAAAACCUUACCCACCUUUGACAUGUACGGAAUCCUUUAGAGAUAGAGGAGUGCUCGAAAGAGAGCCGUAACACAGGUGCUGCAUGGCUGUCGUCAGCUCGUGUCGUGAGAUGUUGGGUUAAGUCCCGCAACGAGCGCAACCCUUGUCAUUAGUUGCUACAUUCAGUUGGGCACUCUAAUGAGACUGCCGGUGACAAACCGGAGGAAGGUGGGGAUGACGUCAAGUCCUCAUGGCCCUUAUAGGUGGGGCUACACACGUCAUACAAUGGAUGGUACAAAGGGUCGCCAACCCGCGAGGGGGAGCCAAUCCCAUAAAGCCAUUCGUAGUCCGGAUCGCAGUCUGCAACUCGACUGCGUGAAGUCGGAAUCGCUAGUAAUCGUGGAUCAGAAUGUCACGGUGAAUACGUUCCCGGGUCUU